GCAGUGGGAGAAGUGAGGAAGUGAGAGAAACUAAGCUACAUCCUGCAAGACUGGACUGGAGGAAGUUUGAGCCUUCUCAGUGAACUUAAGCUUUUCUGCCACGAGGGACUGGUGGAAGAAGGUUAGGAAAAUCAUCAGUUCAGAAAAGAUUCCUCCAGAUGUGAAGUCUGAUGUCAGUCAGCUUCAGAGAAAUAGCAGCAGCUGAGCUGAGAACCUGCAAGCAAGUGUCAGACACUUCUUGCCAUGGCAUCACCAAAUCAGGCUUCCCUCAUCACCACAGAGGUGAGACAGCUCAACCCUUACUCCUCUCCUGUCUGAAACUCCAGCUGGAAGAGCAGCCCUUCCCUGCUUGAGUGAGUUGAACCCCCUCAGCAUUUGCUUCUAUGGCAUGCUGGUACUCCAACCCACAUGAUGAAAUCAGAUCCUCCUGAUUCCUGCUGACCUGCUCCAGCCCCUCGUAUUCCCCAUCUUCCUCUCAGUACCCUCCAUUCCCUACAUUGUAAAUACUUGCUGGAGGGGAAGAGAAGCAUAAUUUGUUCUUUUAUGUGGGAAAGGAAAUGAAGGCAAAGAGGGCUUUUUUUUGUUCUUUUAUCGUUGUUGUUAUUAUUAAAAGAGGGCUUGUUUGGUUUUUGGGGUUUUUUUUUUUUCAGUACAGACAAGUUCUAACCUGUAUAUGUGUGUGCUCUUAGGUACUCCUGAAAAUAAAACCACAUUUGCAUUACAUAUGCUUAAAAUAAAAAGAAAUUGCAUAUCA
This is a non-coding RNA of Taeniopygia guttata (zebra finch), 754 nucleotides long. NCBI's taxonomy places the organism in Eukaryota, Metazoa, Chordata, Aves, Passeriformes, Estrildidae. The record is from RefSeq and is a predicted model, not a curated record.